AACGGAGGGCGGAAGCGUUGUUCGGAAUCACUGGGCGUAAAGCGCGUGCAGGCGGCUUGGUAAGUCGGGUGUGAAAUCCAGGAGCUCAAGUCCGGAACUGCACCCGAUACUGCCUCGCUAGAGUCCCGGAGAGGAUGGCGGAAUUUCCGGUGUAGAGGUGAAAUUCGUAGAUAUCGGAAGGAACACCAGCGGCGAAGGCGGCCAUCUGGACGGUGACUGACGAUCAGACGCGAAAGCGCGGGGAGCAAACAGG
RNAcentral lists this ribosomal RNA (253 nucleotides) under uncultured bacterium. RNAcentral describes it as "partial 16S ribosomal RNA". It matches the Rfam family "Bacterial small subunit ribosomal RNA", at positions 524 to 776 of the family's 1533-position model. The record is from RNAcentral.